CGAGUCGCGCGAGAAUGUAGCAAUACAGGAAAGCGGCGAAAGGGAGAGGACAACAUGGGAAUCUGCCCGGGGGACGAGGAUAGCGUCGGGAAACUGACGGUAAUACUCGAUAAUGUUUGCGGACCAAAGGUGAGAUUCCGCCCCUGGAUGAGCCCAUGCCCCAUUAGCUUGUUGGCGGUGUAAUAGACCACCAAGGCGAUGAUGGGUAGCUGGUGUGAGAGCACGACCAGCCUCACUGGCACUGAGACACUGGCCAGACACCUACGGGUGGCUGCAGUCGAGAAUCUUCGGCAAUGGACGAAAGUCUGACCGAGCGACGCCGCGUGCGGGACGAAGGCCUUCGGGUUGUAAACCGCUGUCGUAGAGGAUCAAAGGUAAUUGGGUUCUCCCUUUUAUUUGAGUGAUUCUAGGAGGAAGGAGAGGCUAAGCUCGUGCCAGCAGCCGCGGUAAGACGAGCUCUCCAAACGUUAUUCGGUAUUACUGGGCUUAAAGAGUUCGUAGGCGGCUUUGUAGGUGGGGUGUGAAAGCCCUCGGCUUAACCGAGGAACUGCGCCCCAAACCACAAGGCUUGAGGGAUAUAGGGGUAAGCGGAACAGAUGGUGGAGCGGUGAAAUGCAUUGAUAUCAUCUGGAACACCGGUGGCGAAGGCGGCUUACUGGAUAUUUUCUGACGCUGAGGAACGAAAGCUAGGGUAGCGAACGGGAUUAGAUACCCCGGUAGUCCUAGCCGUAAACGAUGAACACUAGUCUGAAGGACUCUCACAGUCUUUCGGACGUAGCGAAAGUAUUAAGUGUUCCGCCUGGGGAGUAUGGUCGCAAGGCUGAAACUCAAAGGAAUUGACGG
This 843-nucleotide ribosomal RNA is filed under the name uncultured bacterium. RNAcentral's name for it is "bacterial SSU rRNA". It matches the Rfam family "Bacterial small subunit ribosomal RNA", at positions 58 to 916 of the family's 1533-position model. The record is from RNAcentral.